RNAcentral lists this ribosomal RNA (572 nucleotides) under Micromonospora tulbaghiae. RNAcentral's name for it is "bacterial SSU rRNA". It matches the Rfam family "Bacterial small subunit ribosomal RNA", at positions 246 to 830 of the family's 1533-position model. Lineage: Bacteria; Bacillati; Actinomycetota; Actinomycetes; Micromonosporales; Micromonosporaceae. The record is from RNAcentral.
UUGUUGGUGGGGUGAUGGCCUACCAAGGCGACGACGGGUAGCCGGCCUGAGAGGGCGACCGGCCACACUGGGACUGAGACACGGCCCAGACUCCUACGGGAGGCAGCAGUGGGGAAUAUUGCACAAUGGGCGGAAGCCUGAUGCAGCGACGCCGCGUGAGGGAUGACGGCCUUCGGGUUGUAAACCUCUUUCAGCAGGGACGAAGCGUAAGUGACGGUACCUGCAGAAGAAGCGCCGGCCAACUACGUGCCAGCAGCCGCGGUAAGACGUAGGGCGCGAGCGUUGUCCGGAUUUAUUGGGCGUAAAGAGCUCGUAGGCGGCUUGUCGCGUCGACUGUGAAAACCCGCAGCUCAACUGCGGGCCUGCAGUCGAUACGGGCAGGCUAGAGUUCGGUAGGGGAGACUGGAAUUCCUGGUGUAGCGGUGAAAUGCGCAGAUAUCAGGAGGAACACCGGUGGCGAAGGCGGGUCUCUGGGCCGAUACUGACGCUGAGGAGCGAAAGCGUGGGGAGCGAACAGGAUUAGAUACCCUGGUAGUCCACGCUGUAAACGUUGGGCGCUAGGUGUGGGGGGC